This 511-nucleotide ribosomal RNA is filed under the name uncultured bacterium. Its description in RNAcentral is "bacterial SSU rRNA". It matches the Rfam family "Bacterial small subunit ribosomal RNA", at positions 17 to 518 of the family's 1533-position model. The record is from RNAcentral.
UCCUGGCUCAGGAUGAACGCUAGCGGCAGGCUUAACACAUGCAAGGUCGAGGGGUAACGCGGUGUAGCAAUACACUGGCGACGACCGGCGCACGGGUGCGUAACGCGUAUGCAACCUACCUGUAACAGGGGAAUAACGGAGAGAAAUUUCCACUAAUGCCCCAUAUUGUCAUAGAUUCGCAUGUUUCUAUGACGAAAGGUUUUUCUGGUUACGGAUGGGCAUGCGUGACAUUAGCUAGUUGGUAAGGUAACGGCUUACCAAGGCGACGAUGUCUAGGGGAGCUGAGAGGCUUAUCCCCCACACUGGUACUGAGACACGGACCAGACUCCUACGGGAGGCAGCAGUGAGGAAUAUUGGUCAAUGGAGGGAACUCUGAACCAGCCAUGCCCGCGUGGAGGAAGAAGGUCCUAUGGGUUGUAAACUCCUUUUGUUCCGGAGUAAUAAGUGGUUUGCGAACCACGAUGAGAGUACGGGACGAAUAAGCAUCGGCUAACUCCGUGCCAGCCGCGGC